RNAcentral lists this long non-coding RNA (1413 nucleotides) under Salvia miltiorrhiza (redroot sage). RNAcentral describes it as "long non-coding RNA (SMIL_LNC003505)". Lineage: Eukaryota; Viridiplantae; Streptophyta; Magnoliopsida; Lamiales; Lamiaceae. The record is from RNAcentral.
UCCUUUAAAUAAAUUAAUCAAACUAAUAAGAGUUCAAUUAAUUAAAAAUAAGAAAGCCCAAUUUAAUUAAUUGAAGGCAAUUCAAAAAUCCUUAAAUAAAAUAAGGCCCAACAAAUUUAUUAAUUAAUAGCCCAACUGAAACAAAAAUAAAUAAAAUCUCGGCCCAAAUACUCAUAAAAAUCGGCCCAUGACUCGAGCCCAUUCUAAUUAAAAUCGGCCCACAACUCGAGCCCACUCUAAUUAAAAUCGGCCCACUACCAAGCCCAUCACUCAAACCCACCCCCAAAGCCCAACCCUCACCAACCCCUACCACCCCCCACCCCUCCUUCCUUCUCCCCCACUAAAUACGCACAACACUCACACACACAUGAAGCAGCUGCGCAGCGGCAACCUCUCUCCCUCUCUCGGCUCCCUCAAAUUUCCGCCGCCACGGCUCCUCCUCCGGCGACUGGCCGCCGCCCGCCGAAUCACCACAUCAUCUUCCUCUCUCCUUUACUUUGGUUCCACCAGACCCCCUUCUCCCUCAUCCUCACUUCACGCCAAACCCCCUUCUCCCUCAUCCUCACUCAUCAAACUGACUCGCCACCGUGGAGACUCGCCGGAGACGCAGCAGCGACGAGCCACCGCUACCAGCUUUCUCUCUGACAGUAGCCGAGCACAGCGGCACCUCCUUCCUCUCGAAUCCGGCGACCACAGGACAUCCAUGGCCGCCGCCUGAACUCCCUCCGCUGAACUCCGGCUGCCACGACCAGUAGCUGGUCGCCGCCCAUUCUCCUCUCCUCUGGUCAGACAACAACAGCCCCACGGUAACUGCUGCUGCUCUCGACCACCUCCAUCUAUCCUUGACAACGGCGAAGCGCCGCUGCCCCCCUUCAAGUCCUCCGGCAGUCGCAGCGAGCGAGCUGCGAUACAUCUCUCUCCGCCCUUGGCCGAGCAGCAACGGCGAGUCACCGUCGUGCCCAGCCUCUCUCCAAAAUCUCGACUCACUCCCGACUCUCUUUCUCUAUGUGAGAACAGAGUACCACAGACAACCCUCAAUUUCCGGCAACCGCAACGAAGUCACGGCCGUGGCCCUUCCCGACUCGACACAGCAAGCAAAAACAAGCUUAAUACUUUUCUUUCUUUCGUUUAUUAACAGACUUGAAAACUAUUUAGUACUUGCUUAUGCACAUACAUGAAUGUAUAUAUAUAUAUAUAAAUAUAUGCAUAUAUCUGUGAGAUGAUGAAUAUGGAUUUGUUUCUCUGCUUUAGGCUCAAUUAGCACAGGAAGUAAACUAAUUGAGUUAGAAUUAUAACCUUUUGAUGAGGUUUCGGCUGGUGUUUGUUGUUGUAUUUGUUGUUGUUUACUAAGCUUCUGUGAAUGGAGUUCUGUGAAUGGAGUUGUACAAGAAUUUCAGAUGUUGCUUUAUUCAA